Molecule: ribosomal RNA, 361 nt
Filed under: uncultured bacterium
Lineage: Bacteria
Description: bacterial SSU rRNA
Rfam family: Bacterial small subunit ribosomal RNA
Source: RNAcentral
AAUGAACGUUGGCGGCGUGGAUUAGGCAUGCAAGUCGCGCGACAAGGAACCUUCGGGUUCUGGAGGAGCGGCAAACGGGGUAGUAAGGCAUCGGAACGUACCCUCACGUCUGGGAUAGCCACGGGAAACUGUGGGUAAUACUGGAUAAUCUCACCACUUGUGAAGAGUGGUGAGCAAAGGUCCGCCGCGUGAGGAGCGGCCGAUGCGAUACUAGAUAGUUGGUGGGGUAAUGGCCUACCAAGUCUAAGAUGUCUAGGGGGUGUGAGAGCAUGGCCCCCACCACUGGGACGUGAGACACUGCCCACGACACCUACGGGUGGGCUGCAGUCGAGAAUCUUUGGUCGAAUAGGGCGGCAAGACC